GCCCAACUAGCUCAGCUGGUAGAGUAUGUAACUCUUAAUCUCAGGAUCAUGAGGUUUAAAUCCCAUGUUGGGCA
Non-coding RNA from Cricetulus griseus (Chinese hamster), 74 nucleotides. Lineage: Eukaryota; Metazoa; Chordata; Mammalia; Rodentia; Cricetidae. The record is from Rfam.